Molecule: unclassified non-coding RNA, 630 nt
Filed under: Ixodes scapularis (black-legged tick)
Lineage: Eukaryota; Metazoa; Arthropoda; Arachnida; Ixodida; Ixodidae
Description: collectin-12-like, transcript variant X1
Source: RNAcentral
GACCUGCUGUUGCAGUUUCAGGACCUGUUCGAGCCAGGCCUGGGAACCAUCAAGGGGCCACCGGUUCAAGGAGACUCCUGGGACCUUGGAGCACCGGUGUGGGUCCGCAACUUCGGCCAAGGUGAAAGAUGGUCACCGGGGACCGUCCAGAACAAGCUCGGGUCAAGGAUGCUGGUCAUCGAGACUCCGGAGGGAACAGUCCGUCGACACAUGGACCAGGUCCGCGGCAGACAAGGUCCGACUGAAAGUCUGGGUGGCCCUAAAAACGGUUCGGACAACGUCGGGCCGCCAGUGACACUAGGACAGCCGGACAGCCAGGGGCCACCGAGCGAGCAAGACGUGCCAGCCCCCGACGGUCAAGACCAACCAGCCUUACGACGCUCAACGCGGACACGGAAACCGAUCGAUCGUUUGCAAUAUUAAGAGAAAAAGAAAUGUUGCGUUGUCAUUGUUUACAUCCUGUCUAUUCGCUGUUAUCAAGCCGAUAGCAGUUUCCCAGUUGACUUCACUAGUCGUGGCGUUCCCUAUAUAUCUGUGUUCGAAGCAAUAAAGGGGGCGUUGUCCCAUACUGGCUACCACCGGAGCGUGUCAUACUCGCGUCGCGCCUGGCCGAACGGCGGAUGGCAGCUA